RNAcentral lists this ribosomal RNA (1307 nucleotides) under metagenome. RNAcentral's name for it is "SSU rRNA". It matches the Rfam family "Eukaryotic small subunit ribosomal RNA", at positions 483 to 1783 of the family's 1831-position model. The record is from RNAcentral.
AUACCGGGCCUUUUUGGGCUUGGUAAUUGGAAUGAGGGAGAGUUAAACGGACCAUCGAGUAUCCAUUGGAGGGCAAGUCUGGUGCCAGCAGCUGCGGUAAUACCAGCUCCAAUAGCGUAUAUUAAAGUCGUUGCAGUUAAAAAGCUCGUAGUUGGACUUGUGCGCGCUGUCCGCGGGUGGCCUGCGCCCAAAAGGGCGUUUCGGUUCGGCCCCGGUGGCGCCUUGAAAUCUGCAGCUGGGGGGACGUUGGCCUUAACUGGUCGGCGACCGCACGCCGGCUGCUCGGUUACUGUGAGAAAAUUAGAGUGUUCAAGGCAGGCAUUGGGUGCAAUUGAAUACAUUAGCAUGGAAUAAUAAAAUAUGGCUCCUGCCGUAUUUUGUUGGUUUUGACUGGUGGGAGUAAUGAUUGAUAGGGACGGUUGGGGGUGCUAGUAUUGAGCGGCCAGAGGUGAAAUUCAUGGAUUCGCUCAAGACUAACUUAUGCGAAAGCAUUCACCAAGGACGUCCUCUUUAAUCAAGAGCGAAAGUUGGGGGAUCGAAGACGAUCAGAUACCGUCGUAGUCUCAACCAUAAACUAUGUCGACUUGGGAUCGGCGGUAGUUUUUUCAUUAAGACACUGUCGGGACCACGGGAGAAAUCAAAGUGUCUGGACUCUGGGGGAAGUAUGGUCCCAAGGCUGAAACUUGAAGGAAUUGACGGAAGGGCACCACCAGGAGUGGAGCCUGCGGCUUAAUUUGACCCAACACGGGGAAACUUACCAGGUCCAGAGAUGUAGAGGAUUGACAGAUUGAAGCUCUUUCUUGAUCACUUCGGUGGUGGUGCAUGGCCGUUCUUAGUUGGUGGAGUGAUUUGUCUGGUUAAUUCCGUUAACGAUCGAGACCUCAGCCUGCUAGUGUAGUCGGCUGGAUUGCCUUUGGCGAUCCGUGAUUUCGACUUCUUAGAGGGACAAUCGACGCGCAGUCGAUGGAAGUUUGAGGCAAUAACAGGUCUGUGAUGCCCUUAGAUGUUCUGGGCCGCACGCGCGCUACACUGCUGGGCUCAGCGAGUUUUACUUGGCCGAGAGGCCCGGUUAAUCUUGUGAAAUCCCAGCGUGCUUGGGCUCGCCUCCUGCAACUGGAGGCGCCAACGAGGAAUUCCUAGUAGACGCAGGUCAUCAACCUGCAUCGAUUACGUCCCUGCCCUUUGUACACACCGCCCGUCGUUCCAUAAGAGUGAGGCAUCCGGUGAAUUCUCGGGAGAGCCUGGGCGUGGCCAGCAAUGGUCUGCUCGGGUUUGAACUUGCAUAAACUUGGUGCCUAUGAUUAGGG